ACUCCUACGGGAGGCAGCAGUGGGGAAUAUUGGACAAUGGGCGCAAGCCUGAUCCAGCCAUGCCGCGUGAGUGAUGAAGGCCCUAGGGUUGUAAAGCUCUUUCACCGGAGAAGAUAAUGACGGUAUCCGGAGAAGAAGCCCCGGCUAACUUCGUGCCAGCAGCCGCGGUAAUACGAAGGGGGCUAGCGUUGUUCGGAAUUACUGGGCGUAAAGCGCACGUAGGCGGAUCGAUCAGUCAGGGGUGAAAUCCCAGGGCUCAACCCUGGAACUGCCUUUGAUACUGUCGAUCUGGAGUAUGGAAGAGGUGAGUGGAAUUCCGAGUGUAGAGGUGAAAUUCGUAGAUAUUCGGAGGAACACCAGUGGCGAAGGCGGCUCACUGGUCCAUUACUGACGCUGAGGUGCGAAAGCGUGGGGAGCAAACAGGAUUAGAAACCCCUGUAGUCCCAU
This 447-nucleotide ribosomal RNA is filed under the name uncultured organism. Its description in RNAcentral is "partial 16S ribosomal RNA". It matches the Rfam family "Bacterial small subunit ribosomal RNA", at positions 335 to 798 of the family's 1533-position model. The record is from RNAcentral.